AUUUGCUGAGAUGGAUGUUAUUUUCUACAGGUCUUUACUCUUCCGAAUCUAAAGCCGUAUAGAAAGUUCAAGGUGACCGCUCAUGAAGGAUCGCACGUGAGAAAAGUUGCAAUUUCCAAGUUUACUUCGGAGAGUGAUUCAUCCUACUUGGAAUACUGCAUGAUCUGCUUGACAAAUCAAGGUGAUCUAGGUGUUUACUCCAUACCUGACCUUCGUCGACAGCUAGUUCACUCGUGUACCAAGAAGGAAGACAUUACUGGCAUAUCGAGCUUGAUGUGUACCAAGAAUGGUCAGGGUUUCUUUCUCCACUCUCCGUGCGAGUUUUUUCGGUUUACCUUGUCGACCAAAAGUGUCACCAAAGCACGAUGUCUACUUGAACUGCCAGAAGGUGCAAGACCUGCUACUGAAACUCCAUCUUCUCCAGAGGAGACCAGCCAUCUCUCAGAAGAUGUUAAACAUGAAACAACUCCACAGGAAGUUGAUACAUCAGAAUUCAGCCCAAUUAUUGAAGAAAAUGUUGAAAAGUA
Long non-coding RNA from Limulus polyphemus (Atlantic horseshoe crab), 527 nucleotides. RefSeq lists it as uncharacterized. Lineage: Eukaryota; Metazoa; Arthropoda; Merostomata; Xiphosura; Limulidae. The transcript is spliced from 3 exons. The record is from RefSeq and is a predicted model, not a curated record.